AUACGGAGGGUGCAAGCGUUAUUCGGAAUCACUGGGCGUAAAGGGUGCGUAGGCGGUUUGAUAAGUCUGAUGUGAAAUCCUAUGGCUCAACCAUAGAACUGCAUUGGAAACUGUCAGACUAGAAUACUGAAGGGGCAGAUGGAAUUAGUGGUGUAGGGGUAAAAUCCGUAGAUAUCACUAGGAAUACCGAAAGCGAAAGCGAUCUGCUGGGAAGUUAUUGACGCUGAGGCACGAAAGCGUGGGGAGCAAACGGGAUUAGAAACCCUGGUAGUCC
RNAcentral lists this ribosomal RNA (274 nucleotides) under uncultured bacterium. RNAcentral's name for it is "partial 16S ribosomal RNA". It matches the Rfam family "Bacterial small subunit ribosomal RNA", at positions 523 to 796 of the family's 1533-position model. The record is from RNAcentral.